This 225-nucleotide ribosomal RNA is filed under the name uncultured bacterium. RNAcentral's name for it is "partial 16S ribosomal RNA". It matches the Rfam family "Bacterial small subunit ribosomal RNA", at positions 130 to 353 of the family's 1533-position model. The record is from RNAcentral.
CGUCUACUCUUGGACAGCCUUCUGAAAGGAAGAUUAAUACAAGAUGGCAUCAUGAGUCCGCAUGUUCACAUGAUUAAAGGUAUUCCGGUAGACGAUGGGGAUGCGUUCCAUUAGAUAGUAGGCGGGGUAACGGCCCACCUAGUCUUCGAUGGAUAGGGGUUCUGAGAGGAAGGUCCCCCACAUUGGAACUGAGACACGGUCCAAACUCCUACGGGAGGCAGCAUG